This 809-nucleotide long non-coding RNA is filed under the name Ananas comosus (pineapple). Its description in RNAcentral is "long non-coding RNA (ACOM_LNC042663)". The record is from RNAcentral. Lineage: Eukaryota; Viridiplantae; Streptophyta; Magnoliopsida; Poales; Bromeliaceae.
AGCUUCAUUAUACUCUAAAAAGUCCAUUAGAACCAUCUUUAGACAAAUCAAAACCCUACUUAGGGUUUCACCAUGAGAGGUGAUGAAGCUCACCUCAAGCUUCACCAUUUCUAUGGUCUUGAUCUCAAAAGAAGCAAAAGGAAAGCUUCAAAGACUCUAAAUACUCCAUUAAAACCAUUUCUAGGUUAAUUCAAAGCCCAUUUUAGGGUUUUACUACAAUAGGGUUCAAAGCUCACCUUAUAAGCUUUCCUUUCUUGCACUAGAGAGGAAGAAGAUGAAGUUGCUUCACCUCUUGAUCUUCUUCUUCACCUUCUUUUCCUUCUUUUCCUUCCUUUCUUUCUUUCUUCUUCUUCUCCUUUGCCUUCUAGAGAGAGAGAGGGAGAGAAGAGAGUGUUUGAGAGGGUGAGAAUGAGAGAAAAUCUCAUUAGCCCUCAUAACAUAGCUAUUGGGUUGCAUAAUUGCAAAUAAACCCCUCAACUUUCACUUUAAUACACUGCCCGAACUGGGCAGUUCGCGCAGGCGGGGACCGGUCUCUCCUUCAGGGACCGGUUCCCGAAGGUCGUCCCAGCGCAGCCAGAGCUGCUGCGCACAGUGCAACCGGUCUCUCCUUGGGGGACCGGUCUCUCGAGGACCGGUCUCUCAGACAGGGACCGGUUCCCGAGAGCUGGUUUCUCAGGACUUAGCCGAUUUUUCGGCUGUCUCACUUCAUACGCGUUCGGGGACCGGUCUCUCCCACCAGGGACCGGUCCCCGAGAGCUCAAAACUGCAGAAUGCAGAUUUUGAUUCUAUAGCUCUCGAAAACCUCCCGC